AUCCUACGGGGCGCAGCAGUGGGGAAUAUUGCACAAUGGGGGAAACCCUGAUGCAGCGACGCCGCGUGAGUGAGGAAGUAUUUCGGUAUGUAAAGCUCUAUCAGCAGGGAAGAAAAUGACGGUACCUGACUAAGAAGCCCCGGCUAACUACGUGCCAGCAGCCGCGGUAAUACGUAGGGGGCAAGCGUUAUCCGGAUUUACUGGGUGUAAAGGGAGCGUAGACGGAGGAGCAAGUCUGAUGUGAAAACCCGGGGCUCAACCCCGGGACUGCAUUGGAAACUGUCAGGCUAGAGUGUCGGAGAGGG
RNAcentral lists this ribosomal RNA (305 nucleotides) under uncultured bacterium. Its description in RNAcentral is "bacterial SSU rRNA". It matches the Rfam family "Bacterial small subunit ribosomal RNA", at positions 335 to 658 of the family's 1533-position model. The record is from RNAcentral.